AGCGAUCUCUUUUUACAACUGUCUGGGAUUUGUAUGGAGGUGGAAUUCACCUGAGUUACAGAAAAGAAACAGGAGCCUUCCGAGCUCACAGAACCUCCAGCUACAUCUGUUUUAACACCAACUGGAAGGACAUGGCUGCAUCUGGAGACUCUGUGCCCCAGUCCUCAGUUGAGCUCUGAAGAAGAGACCUCCAGCAACACUCGUUCUCAGGAGGUUGCUACGGUGAAGUUUCCCUCUGGAGCCUGGAGAAAGUGGAAACAGAUCCUGAAGAGAAGCCGGCAUUACAAUGUGGAUGUGAACUUUCCAGGGCUUGAAAAAAAUGUAGGUAAACUCUA
This is a long non-coding RNA of Fukomys damarensis (Damara mole-rat), 335 nucleotides long. RefSeq lists it as uncharacterized. The record is from RefSeq and is a predicted model, not a curated record. Lineage: Eukaryota; Metazoa; Chordata; Mammalia; Rodentia; Bathyergidae. The transcript is spliced from 3 exons.